RNAcentral lists this ribosomal RNA (475 nucleotides) under uncultured bacterium. RNAcentral describes it as "partial 16S ribosomal RNA". It matches the Rfam family "Bacterial small subunit ribosomal RNA", at positions 355 to 819 of the family's 1533-position model. The record is from RNAcentral.
UGGGGAAUAUUGCACAAUGGGCGCAAGCCUGAUGCAGCCAUGCCGCGUGUGUGAAGAAGGCCUUCGGGUUGUAAAGCACUUUCAGCGAGGAGGAAGGUGGUGAACUUAAUACGUUCAUCAAUUGACGUUACUCGCAGAAGAAGCACCGGCUAACUCCGUGCCAGCAGCCGCGGUAAUACGGAGGGUGCAAGCGUUAAUCGGAAUUACUGGGCGUAAAGCGCACGCAGGCGGUUUGUUAAGUCAGAUGUGAAAUCCCCGGGCUCAACCUGGGAACUGCAUUUGAAACUGGCAAGCUAGAGUCUCGUAGAGGGGGGUAGAAUUCCAGGUGUAGCGGUGAAAUGCGUAGAGAUCUGGAGGAAUACCGGUGGCGAAGGCGGCCCCCCUGGACGAAGACUGACGCUCAGGUGCGAAAAGGCGUGGGGAGCAAACAGAUUAGAUACCCUGGUAGUCCACGCUGUAAAACGAUGUCGAUUUU